GUCAAGUUAUUAAGGGUGCAGGGCGGAUGCCUUGGCACUAGGAGCCGAUGAAGGACGUGAUAAGCUGCGAUAAGCUUCGGGGAGUUGCACGUAAACUUUGAUCCGAAGAUUUCCGAAUGAGGAAACUCACUUAGAGUAAUGUCUAAGUAUCAUUAAGUGAAUACAUAGCUUAAUGAGGGGAACUCAGGGAACUGAAACAUCUAAGUACCUGAAGGAAGAGAAAGAAAUUCGAUUCCGUAAGUAGCGGCGAGCGAACGCGGAUUAGCCCAAACCAAUAAAGUUUUCUUUAUUGGGGUUGCGGACAUAUCAUAACGAAGAGGUAUCGUAAUUGAAGAGGUUUGGAAAGACCCACCACAGAAGGUAAUAGUCCUGUAUGUUAAACGAGAAGACUUCAGAUAUGAUCCAGAGUACCACGGGACACGUGAAACCCUGUGGGAAGCAGGAGGGACCACCCUCCAAGGCUAAAUACUACCUAGUGACCGAUAGCGUAUAGUACCGUGAGGGAAAGGUGAAAAGAACCCCGGGAGGGGAGUGAAAUAGAACCUGAAACCCUGCACUUACAAGCUGUGGAAGCACAUUUCUUGUGUGACCGCGUACUUUUUGUAGAACGGGCCAACGAGUUACGUUAAGUAGCAAGGUUAAGCACUUAAGGUGCGGAGCCGUAGCGAAAGCGAGUUUUAACUGAGCGUUCAGUUACUUGACGUAGACCCGAAACCGGGCGACCUACCCAUGAGCAGGAUGAAGCGAAAGUAAAAUUUCGUGGAGGUCCGAACCCACGAGCGUUGAAAAGCUCGGGGAUGACUUGUGGGUAGCGGUGAAAUUCCAAUCGAGCCCGGAGAUAGCUGGUUCUCCCCGAAAUAGCUUUAGGGCUAGCCUCAAGGUGAGAGAUACGGAGGUAGAGCACUGAAUGUCCUAGGGGGUAUUGCACCUACCGAAGACUAUCAAACUCCGAAUGCCGUCAUCUUAUACUUGGGAGUCAGACUGUGGGUGAUAAGAUUCAUAGUCGAAAGGGCAACAGCCCAGAUCGUCAGCUAAGGUCCCUAAAUGUAAGUUAAGUGGUAAAGGAUGUGGGAUUGCACAGACAACCAGGAUGUUGGCUUAGAAGCAGCCACUCAUUCAAAGAGUGCGUAAUAGCUCACUGGUCGAGUGAUCCUGCGCCGAAGAUUUCCGGGGCUAAAACUUACUACCGAAGCUACGGCAUCAGUAAUGAUGGGUAGGGGAGCUUCCCAUACGGGUUGAAGCAUGACCGUAAGGACAUGUGGACAGUAUGGGAGUGAGAAUGUUGGCAUGAGUAGCGAGAUGUGGGUGAGAAUCCCACAGGCCGUAAACCCAAGGUUUCCAGGGGAAGGUUCGUCCGCCCUGGGUUAGUCGGGACCUAAGCUGAGGCCGAAAGGCGUAGGUGAUGGACAACAGGUUGAUAUUCCUGUACUACCGAUAACCGUUUGAGAGAAGGGAUGACACAGUAGGAUAAGCUAAGCACACUGUUGGUUAUGUGUGCCCAAGCAUUGAGGCAGUCAAAGUAGGCAAAUCCGCUUUGAUAAUGCUGGGAUGUGAUGGGGAGCGAAAUUUAGUAGCGAAGUAGCUGAUUUCACACUGUCAAGAAAAGUCUCUAUCGAGGUUAAAGGUACCCGUACCGCAAACCGACACAGGUGGGUGAGGAGAGUAUCCUAAGGCCAGCGAGAGAACUGUUGUUAAGGAACUCGGCAAAAUGACCCCGUAACUUAGGGAUAAGGGGUGCCACCAUCAGGUGGCCGCAGAGAAUAGGCCCAAGCGACUGUUUACCAAAAACAUAGGUUUCUGCUAAGUCGCAAGACGAUGUAUAGGAGCUGACGCCUGCCCGGUGCUGGAAGGUUAAGGGGAUCUGUUAGAGCAAUCGAAGCAGUGAACUUAAGCCCCAGUAAACGGCGGCCGUAACUAUAACGGUCCUAAGGUAGCGAAAUUCCUUGUCGGGUAAGUUCCGACCCGCACGAAAGGCGUAACGAUUUGGGCACUGUCUCAACAACAGACUCGGUGAAAUUGUAAUUCCGGUGAAGAUGCCGGAUACCUGCGACAGGACGGAAAGACCCCAUGGAGCUUUACUGUAGCUUGACAUUGGGUCUUGGUACUACAUGUACAGGAUAGGUGGGAGGCUUUGAAACCAGGACGCCAGUUUUGGCGGAGCCAUCCUUGGGAUACCACCCUUGUAGUACUGGGACUCUAACCAUAGGCCAUGAAUCUGGUCUUGGGACACUGUCAGGUGGGCAGUUUGACUGGGGCGGUCGCCUCCCAAAAGGUAACGGAGGCGCUCAAAGGUUCUCUCAGUACGGUCGGAAAUCGUACGUAGAGUGUAAAGGCAAAAGAGAGCUUGAUUGCAAGACAUACAGGUCGAGCAAGGAUGAAAAUCGGACUUAGUGAUCCGGUGGUUCUGCGUGGAAGGGCCAUCGCUCAACGGAUAAAAGCUACCCUGGGGAUAACAGGCUUAUCUCCCCCAAGAGUCCACAUCGACGGGGAGGUUUGGCACCUCGAUGUCGGCUCAUCACAUCCUGGGGCUGUAGUAGGUCCCAAGGGUUGGGCUGUUCGCCCAUUAAAGUGGUACGCGAGCUGGGUUCAGAACGUCGUGAGACAGUUCGGUCCCUAUCCGUCGCAGGCGUAGGAAAUUUGAGAAGACCUGUCCUUAGUACGAGAGGACCGGGAUGGACGUACCUCUGGUGUACCAGUUGUCCUGCCAAGGGCAUGGCUGGGUAGCUAUGUACGGAAUGGAUAAGCGCUGAAAGCAUCUAAGCGCGAAGCCAACUUCAAGAUAAGAUUUCCCACCGCAAGGGUAAGACCCCAGAAAGACUAUCUGGUUGAUAGGUCGAAGGUGUAAGUGCAGCAAUGUAUUUAGCUUAUCGAUACUAAUAGGUCGAGGACUUGAC
RNAcentral lists this ribosomal RNA (2894 nucleotides) under Clostridioides difficile. RNAcentral describes it as "Bacterial large subunit ribosomal RNA". It matches the Rfam family "Bacterial large subunit ribosomal RNA". The record is from RNAcentral. Lineage: Bacteria; Bacillati; Bacillota; Clostridia; Peptostreptococcales; Peptostreptococcaceae.